UACAUGAAAGGACGGUGAAGUGAUGCUGCUCGCCAUCAUCCUCUCUCCUUCCUUGACUCGGUCCUUUUUUCUUCCUCGCAUUAGGGUUUGAUAUCAGAUUUGCGUUUCGAUGCCUCACUGCUCCCAGCUUUGGAUCCUCUUCAGUGGAUUUGAGCUUGCGAUAAUGGAUGCCUCGCUUUCUGCUGCUGGCAGAUGUGCUUGUUUGACAACGAGAGAGAGCACGCCGGUCCACGAUCAUACCUGCGGCCAUGGCUGUGUGUACCAGCGUGCUUUUUCUCGUUGUCAACUGGCUGGUGCCUUUCGUCGGGAUCGACCACCUUCUUGACCCUGGCUGACGGUUUGUUUCAUUGUUGCUUUCACCUUUGGUUCUCAAGUUUUCCUUAGAGUUUGUUUUUGGUCGCGGGUCAAUAUUCUUUGUCAUUGCGGUUGUUUUGCGUAAUCCUGGAGCAUGAUUUUGGCUUAGACCAAGCGGAGAACUCGCUGCUUUCUUGCUUUAUUCUUAACAAAUGCUAUGCAAACGCGUAGCGGUCACCGAUGUAAUAUUUGUUUCCGAAUCGACCUUUUAAAGCCUUUUUCUGUACUUGAAAUUUUAGCUUGACGAUCACUACUCGAAUCAUGUUUGUUUUGUAGAGGGCUUGUCAAAUAGUGUUGUGAUAGUUCAGUAAUUAUCUCUCUAGAACUAAUGUUUUUUUAAUUUGUACUUAAAUAACUUAACUUUGCUAAAGUUUUGGAUUGUUGAUGUAAUGCCAACUAUUAAUUCUUCAUAGUGUUUUAAAAUCAGUUUCUGAUUAAGAACUAUCUUGCCUGCUAUAUUCCACUUAUAGGAAAUAGGCAAAGAAAUGCAAUGAUUUCGUAAACAAGGUUAAUCUUUUAUUUGGAAGUAUCCAUGGUAGAUAAACUAUCAGUACAGUUCACGUUGACAUGUUGCAAAUUAUAGGAAUACACCAACUUGCAUUUAGUUACUGCAUCUUGUAAUGUUUGUGCGAGUCCUGCUGUUGUGCCAAUAGAACUCUAGUUUAUGAAAUUGAGUAAAUUGAAUUAAAAACAGUAAGGUCUCAACUUCUGAAUUUUAAGUAAACAAGUUUAAUUUGCUUGAUCUUUCAUUCUUUCUCCAGGCAUAAUUAUCAAAUAUUGUUCCUACUGAAUAAAACAAUUAUUAAUUUUCUCCAUUUUAUUUAUCUUUUAGCAACGAGUUAAGUUUAAAGGCAGUUCUAUGCAUAAGCUCCUCUUAUUGUUAUACAAUGCAGGGAUUGAAGUGCCUGAUCAGCAUUUUAAAUAGUUAGCAAAAAAUUUAGACCUCUAGUAAACUUGUCAGUUGUCACGGAUUUCUGGAUUUGUAUUUUCCUCAGCUUAGAAUCUAUAAUUUUAUGUUUUUAUCAUUUCUCUUUUCUCGCCAUAUGCAUUGAGCCUUCCUUUUCUGGCAUCUAUUGUAAGUUAAUUCUACAUGUAUGACACUGAACUACUAAGGUGGACAUGUUCUUGUAUCA
This is a long non-coding RNA of Zingiber officinale, 1487 nucleotides long. RefSeq lists it as uncharacterized. The transcript has 2 exons. Lineage: Eukaryota; Viridiplantae; Streptophyta; Magnoliopsida; Zingiberales; Zingiberaceae. The record is from RefSeq and is a predicted model, not a curated record.